RNAcentral lists this ribosomal RNA (300 nucleotides) under Triticum aestivum (bread wheat). RNAcentral describes it as "partial small subunit ribosomal RNA". Lineage: Eukaryota; Viridiplantae; Streptophyta; Magnoliopsida; Poales; Poaceae. The record is from RNAcentral.
AUGUUAAAGCUGGCCUACAUCAAUUUUUGCAUGUGGGCUUGUGCUCUCGGCAUAAUACUUUUUGUGCAGUUGUGUUACAACAUGUUUUCAUUGAGAUGUUAUCCAGUGUUUUUCAGCUCUAGGCUCCUCAUUUCAAAAGGAUUAAAUGAGUCUAGAUGGUCAUGGCUUGUCGUCCGUCUUGAAGUGGAUUCAGAGCCCGGUAGGAUCGCACACCGUAUGGCUUGUACAUCGGAAGAAGAUACAAGAUUGACAAGCAUUCGGUCGAAAAACUCAAAUUAUUCCAUCGAUAGAAUAACAUGA